CAGGACUCAUAGUGUGUAUUUUGAAGGGAAAUGGAUGCUAAGAACAGAUAAGCCUCUCUCAUAUUUGAAACUGACCAGAAAACACAUUUAUAAAGCCAGGGAAACUUCACUCCAAAUAUAAAUGCGUGUAACAGAUAUUUGUACUCAUUUCCCAUUAUCUUGUACAUUUCUGGCUUCUUUUCACAUGGUAACCUAAAACCUCUUUUUAUGUGGGUGGUGGCAGUAUGAUUACCGGGGAGUGGUUAACAUCUCGGUCCCGGGGGACAGGGCUGAAGAGCUGACAUUGAUGUCUUACUCAGAUGGAGCCUCAGCUGCUACUCUCUGCCAUCAGAUCCUAAUGGCUUUAUUUAAAAUUCAAAGGGGAGACACUCUGCAAUAUGACUCUCUUCUCUCAUUCAGCCACUCUCAUUUUCUUUCUUUCAAUACAACAGGGAAAAGGUUGUGCAUGAAUCUUCUAUUUGAAAGUUAAUGUGAAGUAAGAGUUGUGAUAGUUUUGUAUUCUCCAAUAAUUUUUAUUUAUUUAUUUUUUGACAUUUUGACUUUUUUUUUAAUUAGUUUCUGUGUUAAAAAAAUCUGAUUAUUAUUUUUUAAAUGAUUAGCUUUUAUUUUUGUCUAGAGGGCUUAUGUCAGAUUUAUGAAAAUCAGUACAGGUGUUAUAAUAAAAACACAGAACUUUUUGAAAGCAGUUGACUCACAGACUUGUAGACAUCCAAAGUCUCAAUAAACAUGUGCAUCAAUGCCUCAUUGGGCAUUAUUAGUUGUAAUAACACGGUGACCAAACCAACAAGUACUAAAACUAAAGAUAUUUUCUUUAUAUUUUAUUUUAUUUUUAAAAGCCUUUUUUACGUUUUAGUUUAGUUAACAAAACUGCCUUUUUCACCAGGUUACUAUAGUUAACUAAAAAGCAUUUUAGUUAGGUCCCAACUUCAAUGAGUGACUGAUUGCUUCCUAAAACUACAGAAAACCAGUGCGUGAAAAGGCUGUGUCCUUGCAGGCUGUUUAGAGAACAAAUAUGCAGAUAGGGCAAUAGGAUGAACAUAUAUAUCAUUAUUUAGUUAUUAAUCAGGAUUAACACUUAAUCAGGAUUGGGUAUAUUACAAAAAUAGUGUCUGACCCAAACAUUGCUUUU
This is a long non-coding RNA of Astatotilapia calliptera (eastern happy), 1129 nucleotides long. NCBI's taxonomy places the organism in Eukaryota, Metazoa, Chordata, Actinopteri, Cichliformes, Cichlidae. The record is from Ensembl.